This 458-nucleotide ribosomal RNA is filed under the name Cupriavidus basilensis. Its description in RNAcentral is "bacterial SSU rRNA". It matches the Rfam family "Bacterial small subunit ribosomal RNA", at positions 56 to 510 of the family's 1533-position model. The record is from RNAcentral. Lineage: Bacteria; Pseudomonadati; Pseudomonadota; Betaproteobacteria; Burkholderiales; Burkholderiaceae.
UGCAGUCGAACGGCAGCACGGGAGCAAUCCUGGUGGCGAGUGGCGAACGGGUGAGUAAUACAUCGGAACGUGCCCUGUCGUGGGGGAUAACUAGUCGAAAGAUUAGCUAAUACCGCAUACGACCUGAGGGUGAAAGCGGGGGACCGUAAGGCCUCGCGCGAUAGGAGCGGCCGAUGUCUGAUUAGCUAGUUGGUGGGGUAAAGGCCCACCAAGGCGACGAUCAGUAGCUGGUCUGAGAGGACGAUCAGCCACACUGGGACUGAGACACGGCCCAGACUCCUACGGGAGGCAGCAGUGGGGAAUUUUGGACAAUGGGGGCAACCCUGAUCCAGCAAUGCCGCGUGUGUGAAGAAGGCCUUCGGGUUGUAAAGCACUUUUGUCCGGAAAGAAAUCCCUUGCCCUAAUACGGCGGGGGGAUGACGGUACCGGAAGAAUAAGCACCGGCUAACUACGUGCCA